CGGCGGACGGGUGAGUAACACGUGGAUAACCUACCUAUAAGACUGGAUAACUUCGGGAAACCGGAGCUAAUACCGGAUAAUAUAUUGAACCGCAUGGUUCAAUAGUGAAAGACGGUUUUGCUGUCACUUAUAGAUGGAUCCGCGCCGCAUUAGCUAGUUGGUAAGGUAACGGCUUACCAAGGCAACGAUGCGUAGCCGACCUGAGAGGGUGAUCGGCCACACUGGAACUGAGACACGGUCCAGACUCCUACGGGAGGCAGCAGUA
This 265-nucleotide ribosomal RNA is filed under the name uncultured Staphylococcus sp. RNAcentral's name for it is "partial 16S ribosomal RNA". It matches the Rfam family "Bacterial small subunit ribosomal RNA", at positions 96 to 355 of the family's 1533-position model. Lineage: Bacteria; Bacillati; Bacillota; Bacilli; Caryophanales; Staphylococcaceae. The record is from RNAcentral.